Molecule: long non-coding RNA, 238 nt
Filed under: Elaeis guineensis (African oil palm)
Lineage: Eukaryota; Viridiplantae; Streptophyta; Magnoliopsida; Arecales; Arecaceae
Description: long non-coding RNA (EGUI_LNC011600)
Source: RNAcentral
GACUAAGUCGAGUCACAGGUCAAUCUGACUUAUUUACAAUCUUAGUUGCAUAUAAAUAUUUUUUGAGAUUCUAAGAAGCGUGGUUAUACGUAAAUAUAAAAAUUUUAUCUGCUCAGGGAUUUGCAUGCAAGAUACUUAUCUUUCAUCAUACGCCAGAGAGACAAACACGGCGCUUGGCUCUGCAUGCAUGAAGCAUUCCAUUGCAGAGCGGCUAGAGCUCAGGUGAACACAGGGGAAA